This 88-nucleotide signal recognition particle RNA is filed under the name Pseudomonadota bacterium. Its description in RNAcentral is "signal recognition particle sRNA small type". It matches the Rfam family "Bacterial small signal recognition particle RNA". Rfam says of the family: The signal recognition particle (SRP) is a universally conserved ribonucleoprotein involved in the co-translational targeting of proteins to membranes. Archaeal SRP consists of a 7S RNA and homologues of the eukaryotic SRP19 and SRP54 proteins. Lineage: Bacteria; Pseudomonadati; Pseudomonadota. The record is from RNAcentral.
CAUGGGUCCGCCAACAGCGCGGCUUGAACCCCGCCAGGCCCGGAAGGGAGCAACGGUAGAGACAAGCGGGUGUGGCGGACCCUCCCAA